Long non-coding RNA from Bombina bombina (fire-bellied toad), 819 nucleotides. RefSeq lists it as uncharacterized. The record is from RefSeq and is a predicted model, not a curated record. Lineage: Eukaryota; Metazoa; Chordata; Amphibia; Anura; Bombinatoridae. The transcript has 3 exons.
GGAGCAUGGCAUCCACUACCAAACGUCCGGUGCUAUCCCACACCUACUCUCGUAUGGCAAUUGAGAGCCAUCUCUCAAUAUUCACUGAAUAGAAGAGAGAGGAAAAAAGGGGAUAUUGAGUAAUACAGUACCAGAAACCUUAUUUUGGCAGUGAUGAAUAACGCGUAUACAGAGGACACAACAAUCACAUCUCUCUUCAGUCAUGCUUUACCUGUUGCUGCAGAAAUCAGCUGGCUUCCUCAGGAGAGAUUUACACUUCCCAAAAUGUUGAUGUCCCAAACCAUCACAUAGGCAUUAGCCCUGGAUAGGGUGUGUCUAGGAGUAUCAAUUGGAGGGGACUACAAAUGUUUCUACUUUAUUCAAGAAGCAACCCAUGAGUAUUGCAAGGAAACUGAGACUGCUGACUAUAGACCUCCUUCAGCUUCAAAACUGCACUGAGCAUAUGUACUACACUCGGCAGAUGAAAGAUGUGAUAGUGAAUACUGGUAUUUCCCCCCCAAUUCAAGAAGGUCCCUGAGGGAAUCACUGAUGAAAAGAGAACCUGGGAGCCAUGAAUGUAAACCAGUGAUAUUAACAUUAAAGGGACAUUAAACACCGACUGAAGGCUCGCUUCCAUUGAGUUGUUAAAAAUUAAGCCGUAAGCUACCGAAGUUCCAGACAGCUAAAAGUAAUUUACGGCUCCAUUUUCGUACCAGGUUUCCAUUGAAAUAUUUUGUGCAUUGCGUCCAGUCGCUCUUUUCGUGUAGAUGUAAGUUAACGUUGUGUUAACGCUUCCUUCCAACGUUGGAUUUCUUGAAAAUAAAGUUAGUUGCUAUGGUA